AUAGCGAAGAGGUCACACCCGUUCCCAUACCGAACACGGAAGUUAAGCUCUUUAGCGCCAAUGGUAGUUGGGACUUUGUCCCUGUGAGAGUAGGACGUUGCCA
This 103-nucleotide ribosomal RNA is filed under the name Priestia megaterium. The record is from RNAcentral. Lineage: Bacteria; Bacillati; Bacillota; Bacilli; Caryophanales; Bacillaceae.